CACACAGUCUGCGUGGCUCCACACGGUUUGACGACACCCUCGCCGGGCGGGCACUGCUUGCAGCACUUUCCAUCCGUGGUGUACUGACCCGAUAAACACUCCUCCUUCUUGGCUGUGGCCACCACCUGUCAAUCAUCAUCAGAGGCAUCAUCAGUCCCCGCAACAAUCUGGCAAAGAGAGAUGCAAAAUGUGUCCAUCAGAGAGGACAGACCAUGAACAAAAGGGUGGCUGAGCAGAUCAAUAAAGUACAGACGAUGGCGUCCCACAGGAAGACGCAGGGGUUGCCGCCAUCUGAUGCUGCAGACCAAUAAUGAAGAAGCUGCCAAUGUGCUACAGAUGCUGCAGACCAAUAAUGAAGAAGCUGCAUAAUGGCCAAUCUCUAAAAAAAAGACCCCUGCUUGAACUUCUCACCUUAGAACGACGAUGCCGGGUUUUCACUUGAUGAAAAUGGCCAAUAUA
Non-coding RNA from Doryrhamphus excisus (bluestripe pipefish), 459 nucleotides. Lineage: Eukaryota; Metazoa; Chordata; Actinopteri; Syngnathiformes; Syngnathidae. The record is from RefSeq and is a predicted model, not a curated record.